This 769-nucleotide ribosomal RNA is filed under the name uncultured bacterium. RNAcentral's name for it is "bacterial SSU rRNA". It matches the Rfam family "Bacterial small subunit ribosomal RNA", at positions 28 to 776 of the family's 1533-position model. The record is from RNAcentral.
AUUGAACGCUGGCGGCAGGCCUAACACAUGCAAGUCGAGCGGAAACGAGAUAUCUGGAACUUCAGGGGACGAUAACGGCGUCGAGCGGCGGACGGGUGAGUAAUGCCUAGGAAAUUGCCCUGAUGUGGGGGAUAACCAUUGGAAACGAUGGCUAAUACCGCAUGAUGCCUACGGGCCAAAGAGGGGGACCUUCGGGCCUCUCGCGUCAGGAUAUGCCUAGGUGGGAUUAGCUAGUUGGUGAGGUAAGGGCUCACCAAGGCGACGAUCCCUAGCUGGUCUGAGAGGAUGAUCAGCCACACUGGAACUGAGACACGGUCCAGACUCCUACGGGAGGCAGCAGUGGGGAAUAUUGCACAAUGGGCGCAAGCCUGAUGCAGCCAUGCCGCGUGUGUGAAGAAGGCCUUCGGGUUGUAAAGCACUUUCAGUCGUGAGGAAGGUAGUGUAGUUAAUAGCUGCAUUAUUAGACGUUAGCGACAGAAGAAGCACCGGCUAACUCCGUGCCAGCAGCCGCGGUAAUACGGAGGGUGCGAGCGUUAAUCGGAAUUACUGGGCGUAAAGCGCAUGCAGGUGGUUUGUUAAGUCAGAUGUGAAAGCCCGGGGCUCAACCUCGGAAUUGCAUUUGAAACUGGCAGACUAGAGUACUGUAGAGGGGGGUAGAAUUUCAGGUGUAGCGGUGAAAUGCGUAGAGAUCUGAAGGAAUACCGGUGGCGAAGGAGGCCCCCUGGACAGAUACUGACACUCAGAUGCGAAAGCGUGGGGAGCAAACAGG